UAUAAGAGAAAAAGGCAAAAAUAACGCCUAAGGGUGUGGCGUUAAUGAAGUUGGCGAGAACCAUGAGCUCUCAAAUUCAAAUCCCAGCGGAGGUAUCCCAUGAAAUUAAUCAGGUGCACGCAAGCUGGUCGGGACACUACGGCUAUCAAAAGAUAAGGCAAAAAUAGUACACUAUCUUUGGACUUAGACUCGAGAUGAUUCUGACUUCCACAUGGAGCAUUAACAAAGGGGUGCACUUUCAGUAUGUGGAUGCUCUCUCUUCUACUUUUCUUUCUUCUUUUCUUUUUUUUGUUUUGUUUUGUUUGGUUUGGUGUUAUAUAUGGAAUAGUUGUUUCUGUUGUUUGCAAUCUCUAAUAGAAAGUGAAACUCAUGUCUGAUAUUUUAUUUUUUUCAUCCCAUGUGGAAGAGGAGCACAACGGUAAAGUUGUCUCCAUGUAACUUACAGGUCACGGGUUCGAGCCGUGAAAACAGUCAAUAAUGUUUGUAUUAAGGUUGGUUGUCUACAUCACACCCUAGGGGUGCGGCUCUGCGUGAAUGCAGAUACUUUUUGCA
Nicotiana tabacum (common tobacco) is the source of this 552-nucleotide non-coding RNA. NCBI's taxonomy places the organism in Eukaryota, Viridiplantae, Streptophyta, Magnoliopsida, Solanales, Solanaceae. The record is from RefSeq and is a predicted model, not a curated record.